Long non-coding RNA from Chenopodium quinoa (quinoa), 722 nucleotides. RefSeq lists it as uncharacterized. Lineage: Eukaryota; Viridiplantae; Streptophyta; Magnoliopsida; Caryophyllales; Amaranthaceae. The record is from RefSeq and is a predicted model, not a curated record. The transcript has 2 exons.
ACAUUUCAUUCUCUCUCCUCUAUUAUGCCGUAUGUUUCUUUUCUCUCUCCUCCAUAAUCUCUUGAUUUUUUCUCUCUCAUCUCACUCAUUCUCUCCUUCCAACUCAAAAUAAAUGUUAAACUCAUCAAAUUUCAGUGGAUUUUGCUUCAAGCUUUAAUAAUUUUGACGUUAGCUUUAAAGGUGGCUACUCGUGGUGUGGUUCGGGAGUUUCUACUACUCGGAUCGGUGUUUGGUAAGCGGUGCAGUAGUCGAGAUUUGGUGCGGUGGCGAGCUGAUGGUUGCAGGGUGGUCCGAUGGUAACUGGUUGUGCGGUUGGAGGUACAGUUACUUGAGUGAUAGGCUUACAUGUAGUAACUUUGUCCUUGAUUGGGCUCUGUUCUUAGGGACAGUGUGGGGUAUGUUCUUUGCUGCGGGGUAGCUCAGGGUCCUGAGAAGUGGGAUACGAAGGUAGCAGAGGCCAAUGAAAUUUUAUGGGGUCUGAAGUUAGCGCUGGACGAAGGCAUUGAUAAGUUAGUGGUUGAAACUGGAAAGUGAUUGCUUGGGUUUAAUUCAAGAUAUGCGUGCUCAACCCAGUGGCUUAAGUUCAUUUCAUUUAAUUGUUGAUGAUAUUUUAGAGUUCUAGUUUUAGUAGUAUGGUCAAAAUUGAAACAGUUACCCAAUUUUUGUAUAUAGCGACCUCUAUGUAAAUGCCGUCAAAUUGAUAUAGUUACCCUAUUUUUGUA